Molecule: ribosomal RNA, 253 nt
Filed under: uncultured bacterium
Lineage: Bacteria
Description: partial 16S ribosomal RNA
Rfam family: Bacterial small subunit ribosomal RNA
Source: RNAcentral
UACGUAGGGUCCGAGCGUUGUCCGGAAUUAUUGGGCGUAAAGGGCUCGUAGGCGGUUUGUCGCGUCGGGAGUGAAAUCCACUGGCUUAACUGGUGGCUUGCUUUCGAUACGGGCAGACUGGAGGUAUGCAGGGGAGAACGGAAUUCCUGGUGUAGCAGUGAAAUGCGCAGAUAUCAGGAGGAACACCGGUGGCGAAGGCGGUUCUCUGGGCAUGACCUGACGCUGAGGAGCGAAAGUGUGGGGAGCGAACAGG